This 110-nucleotide transfer RNA is filed under the name Puccinia graminis f. sp. tritici. It matches the Rfam family "tRNA". Rfam says of the family: Transfer RNA (tRNA) molecules are approximately 80 nucleotides in length. The record is from Rfam by way of RNAcentral. Lineage: Eukaryota; Fungi; Basidiomycota; Pucciniomycetes; Pucciniales; Pucciniaceae.
GACAACGUGGCCGAGCGGUUAAGGCGAUUGACUAGAAUCUGCCAAUUCUAAGACAUCUGUCUAUCAUCAAUUGGGAUUUUCCCGCGUAGGUUCAAAUCCUGCCGUUGUCG